AGCGUACACGGUGGAUGCCCUGGCAGUCAGAGGCGAUGAAGGACGUGCUAAUCUGCGAUAAGCGUCGGUAAGGUGAUAUGAACCGUUAUAACCGGCGAUUUCCGAAUGGGGAAACCCAGUGUGAUUCGUCACACUAUCAUUAACUGAAUCCAUAGGUUAAUGAGGCGAACCGGGGGAACUGAAACAUCUAAGUACCCCGAGGAAAAGAAAUCAACCGAGAUUCCCCCAGUAGCGGCGAGCGAACGGGGAGGAGCCCAGAGCCUGAAUCAGUGUGUGUGUUAGUGGAAGCGUCUGGAAAGGCGCGCGAUACAGGGUGACAGCCCCGUACACAAAAAUGCACAUGCUGUGAGCUCGAUGAGUAGGGCGGGACACGUGGUAUCCUGUCUGAAUAUGGGGGGACCAUCCUCCAAGGCUAAAUACUCCUGACUGACCGAUAGUGAACCAGUACCGUGAGGGAAAGGCGAAAAGAACCCCGGCGAGGGGAGUGAAAAAGAACCUGAAACCGUGUACGUACAAGCAGUGGGAGCACGCUUAGGCGUGUGACUGCGUACCUUUUGUAUAAUGGGUCAGCGACUUAUAUUCUGUAGCAAGGUUAACCGAAUAGGGGAGCCGAAGGGAAACCGAGUCUUAACUGGGCGUUAAGUUGCAGGGUAUAGACCCGAAACCCGGUGAUCUAGCCAUGGGCAGGUUGAAGGUUGGGUAACACUAACUGGAGGACCGAACCGACUAAUGUUGAAAAAUUAGCGGAUGACUUGUGGCUGGGGGUGAAAGGCCAAUCAAACCGGGAGAUAGCUGGUUCUCCCCGAAAGCUAUUUAGGUAGCGCCUCGUGAAUUCAUCUCCGGGGGUAGAGCACUGUUUCGGCAAGGGGGUCAUCCCGACUUACCAACCCGAUGCAAACUACGAAUACCGGAGAAUGUUAUCACGGGAGACACACGGCGGGUGCUAACGUCCGUCGUGAAGAGGGAAACAACCCAGACCGCCAGCUAAGGUCCCAAAGUCAUGGUUAAGUGGGAAACGAUGUGGGAAGGCCCAGACAGCCAGGAUGUUGGCUUAGAAGCAGCCAUCAUUUAAAGAAAGCGUAAUAGCUCACUGGUCGAGUCGGCCUGCGCGGAAGAUGUAACGGGGCUAAACCAUGCACCGAAGCUGCGGCAGCGACGCUUAUGCGUUGUUGGGUAGGGGAGCGUUCUGUAAGCCUGCGAAGGUGUGCUGUGAGGCAUGCUGGAGGUAUCAGAAGUGCGAAUGCUGACAUAAGUAACGAUAAAGCGGGUGAAAAGCCCGCUCGCCGGAAGACCAAGGGUUCCUGUCCAACGUUAAUCGGGGCAGGGUGAGUCGACCCCUAAGGCGAGGCCGAAAGGCGUAGUCGAUGGGAAACAGGUUAAUAUUCCUGUACUUGGUGUUACUGCGAAGGGGGGACGGAGAAGGCUAUGUUGGCCGGGCGACGGUUGUCCCGGUUUAAGCGUGUAGGCUGGUUUUCCAGGCAAAUCCGGAAAAUCAAGGCUGAGGCGUGAUGACGAGGCACUACGGUGCUGAAGCAACAAAUGCCCUGCUUCCAGGAAAAGCCUCUAAGCAUCAGGUAACAUCAAAUCGUACCCCAAACCGACACAGGUGGUCAGGUAGAGAAUACCAAGGCGCUUGAGAGAACUCGGGUGAAGGAACUAGGCAAAAUGGUGCCGUAACUUCGGGAGAAGGCACGCUGAUAUGUAGGUGAAGCGACUUGCUCGUGGAGCUGAAAUCAGUCGAAGAUACCAGCUGGCUGCAACUGUUUAUUAAAAACACAGCACUGUGCAAACACGAAAGUGGACGUAUACGGUGUGACGCCUGCCCGGUGCCGGAAGGUUAAUUGAUGGGGUCAGCGCAAGCGAAGCUCUUGAUCGAAGCCCCGGUAAACGGCGGCCGUAACUAUAACGGUCCUAAGGUAGCGAAAUUCCUUGUCGGGUAAGUUCCGACCUGCACGAAUGGCGUAAUGAUGGCCAGGCUGUCUCCACCCGAGACUCAGUGAAAUUGAACUCGCUGUGAAGAUGCAGUGUACCCGCGGCAAGACGGAAAGACCCCGUGAACCUUUACUAUAGCUUGACACUGAACAUUGAGCCUUGAUGUGUAGGAUAGGUGGGAGGCUUUGAAGUGUGGACGCCAGUCUGCAUGGAGCCGACCUUGAAAUACCACCCUUUAAUGUUUGAUGUUCUAACGUUGACCCGUAAUCCGGGUUGCGGACAGUGUCUGGUGGGUAGUUUGACUGGGGCGGUCUCCUCCUAAAGAGUAACGGAGGAGCACGAAGGUUGGCUAAUCCUGGUCGGACAUCAGGAGGUUAGUGCAAUGGCAUAAGCCAGCUUGACUGCGAGCGUGACGGCGCGAGCAGGUGCGAAAGCAGGUCAUAGUGAUCCGGUGGUUCUGAAUGGAAGGGCCAUCGCUCAACGGAUAAAAGGUACUCCGGGGAUAACAGGCUGAUACCGCCCAAGAGUUCAUAUCGACGGCGGUGUUUGGCACCUCGAUGUCGGCUCAUCACAUCCUGGGGCUGAAGUAGGUCCCAAGGGUAUGGCUGUUCGCCAUUUAAAGUGGUACGCGAGCUGGGUUUAGAACGUCGUGAGACAGUUCGGUCCCUAUCUGCCGUGGGCGCUGGAGAACUGAGGGGGGCUGCUCCUAGUACGAGAGGACCGGAGUGGACGCAUCACUGGUGUUCGGGUUGUCAUGCCAAUGGCACUGCCCGGUAGCUAAAUGCGGAAGAGAUAAGUGCUGAAAGCAUCUAAGCACGAAACUUGCCCCGAGAUGAGUUCUCCCUGACUCCUUGA
RNAcentral lists this ribosomal RNA (2787 nucleotides) under Escherichia coli. RNAcentral's name for it is "bacterial LSU rRNA". It matches the Rfam family "Bacterial large subunit ribosomal RNA". The record is from RNAcentral. Lineage: Bacteria; Pseudomonadati; Pseudomonadota; Gammaproteobacteria; Enterobacterales; Enterobacteriaceae.